RNAcentral lists this ribosomal RNA (268 nucleotides) under uncultured bacterium. RNAcentral describes it as "partial 16S ribosomal RNA". It matches the Rfam family "Bacterial small subunit ribosomal RNA", at positions 57 to 305 of the family's 1533-position model. The record is from RNAcentral.
GCAAGUCGUACGAGAAACACUCCCUUCGGGGAGUGGAGUAAAGUGGCGCACGGGUGAGUAACACGUGGGUAACCUACCCUCGGGUCCGGAACAACUGGCCGAAAGGCCCGCUAAUUCCGGCAUAAGACCACGCAGGCUUCGGCCUAAGCGGUCAAAGGCGGCCUCUCGAUGAAGCUGCCGCCUGAGGAUGGGCUCGCGGACCAUUAGCUUGUUGGUAGGGUAACGGCCUACCAAGGCUGAGAUGGUUAGCUGGUCUGAGAGGAUGAUC